This 74-nucleotide transfer RNA is filed under the name Caudoviricetes sp. RNAcentral's name for it is "tRNA-Gln". It matches the Rfam family "tRNA". From Rfam's summary of the family: Transfer RNA (tRNA) molecules are approximately 80 nucleotides in length. Their secondary structure includes four short double-helical elements and three loops (D, anti-codon, and T loops). Further hydrogen bonds mediate the characteristic L-shaped molecular structure. tRNAs have two regions of fundamental functional importance: the anti-codon, which is responsible for specific mRNA codon recognition, and the 3' end, to which the tRNAs corresponding amino acid is attached (by aminoacyl-tRNA synthetases). tRNAs cope with the degeneracy of the genetic code in two manners: having more than one tRNA (with a specific anti-codon) for a particular amino acid; and 'wobble' base-pairing, i.e. permitting non-standard base-pairing at the 3rd anti-codon position. Lineage: Duplodnaviria; Heunggongvirae; Uroviricota; Caudoviricetes. The record is from RNAcentral.
GGGGAAUAGUAUAAUGGAUAGUGCGUCUGGCUUUGACCCAGAAGGAUUGGGUUCAAUUCCCAAUUCCCCUGCCA